This 253-nucleotide ribosomal RNA is filed under the name uncultured bacterium. Its description in RNAcentral is "partial 16S ribosomal RNA". It matches the Rfam family "Bacterial small subunit ribosomal RNA", at positions 524 to 776 of the family's 1533-position model. The record is from RNAcentral.
UACGAAGGGGGCUAGCGUUGCUCGGAAUUACUGGGCGUAAAGGGCGCGUAGGCGGUCUGUCGCGUCGGAUGUGAAAACCCGGGGCUUAACCCCGGGCCUGCAUUCGAUACGGGCAGACUCGAGUGUGGUAGGGGAGACUGGAACUCCUGGUGUAGCGGUGAAAUGCGCAGAUAUCAGGAAGAACACCGGUGGCGAAGGCGGGUCUCUGGGCCACUACUGACGCUGAGGAGCGAAAGCGUGGGGAGCGAACAGG